Molecule: ribosomal RNA, 424 nt
Filed under: uncultured Lactobacillus sp.
Lineage: Bacteria; Bacillati; Bacillota; Bacilli; Lactobacillales; Lactobacillaceae
Description: bacterial SSU rRNA
Rfam family: Bacterial small subunit ribosomal RNA
Source: RNAcentral
GGAAUCUUCCACAAUGGGCGCAAGCCUGAUGGAGCAACACCGCGUGAGUGAAGAAGGGUUUCGGCUCGUAAAGCUCUGUUGUUAGAGAAGAACGUGCGUGAGAGCAACUGUUCACGCAGUGACGGUAUCUAACCAGAAAGUCACGGCUAACUACGUGCCAGCAGCCGCGGUAAUACGUAGGUGGCAAGCGUUGUCCGGAUUUAUUGGGCGUAAAGGGAACGCAGGCGGUCUUUUAAGUCUGAUGUGAAAGCCUUCGGCUUAACCGGAGAAGUGCAUUGGAAACUGGAAGACUUGAGUGCAGAAGAGGAGAGUGGAACUCCAUGUGUAGCGGUGAAAUGCGUAGAUAUAUGGAAGAACAUCAGUGGCGGAAGCGGCUCUCUGGUCUGUAACUGACGCUGAGGUUCGAAAGCGUGGGGAGCGAACA